AUUGACUACCUCAUGUAAUUGAUUGAAUACUGGACAGAAAGUGAAAAACAGAAUGGUUAAGUGUAUCGGUUGUUUACCCUCCUGAUCACAUGGCUGACUGGGAGCUGUGGCUCGCUCCUGCUGCCCAGCAUCACAAGAGAGAAUCAGACCACAUGUGACUAGCCAGAGAAGAGACAAAAAUUCAAAAUUCAAAGUAUGGCUUCUACUGAAUGCUUCUCGCUUUCAUGCCAUCGUAAUAUUGGAAAAAUUGUAAGUCAAACUAUCGAAAAGUCGGAGACCGUCUGAAUAACACGGGUCCAUGCUUCGAGGAGGCCACAGUAUUGUAGGGAAUAAAAUAUACUGCAAAAAGCAAUUUACUGACCAAUACAAGACAGUUUUCUAACACUUGCUAAAUUGUGCAGAGAGGCCCAGAAGGAAACGGGGAGCUUUGGGGACCCCGGCGCACCCCAGGAUUGUGCCAGGAUCAUAGUGGAUGCUCAGCGACGGCUUGUGAACUGAGGGAGUGCCGGAAGCUGAGAAGCAGAGAGAAAGCUUUGUGGCUAAUUAAGUCUCUUCUUCUCUCCGGCAGCCACUCACACUCUGGCCAGUGUUGCCAGCCCCCAGCAGGGCUGCUGCGGACAAGCCACUCAGUGAUACGAGGCCUCCUGAAGAAGUAAAUGACCAUCUGGUUGCCCGAUGGAAUGUUUCCCCCCGGGGAAAUUACAAAGUGGAACCAGGUGCCCAGGCUGCAGCCUCACGUCUUUACUAGGCCAGUCCAGGGUCCUGGGCUCAGGGCCAGGGGGUAGCUGUAUUCUGCUGACCGGCCAGUCUUCUUUCCAGCUCUGAGCUGACAUCCGUGCCCAUCUUCCUCUAUUUUAUAUGUAGGACGCCUGUCACAGCAUGGCUUGAUAAGCAGUGUGUAGGCCCACGUCCAGGAUCCAAACUGAUGAACCCUGGGCCACCAAAGGAGAGGACUCAAACUUAACUGCUAUGCCACCGGCCAGCCCCUGUAUAUGUUUUUAUUAGGAUUGACAUUGAGCAUAUUUUCAUAUGUUUAAGACCCAAGUAUGUUUCCUGCAAACUGUCUAUAUCCAUACCCAUUUUUCUGUUGACCUGUUGGUCUUUUGUCUUAUCAAUUUGCAGGAGCUCUUUAUAUAUUGGGGAACUGAACCUUUUGUUUGUGAUAUGAGUUACACACAUUUCUCAUUUUGUCAUUUUCUUAUAGACUUUUUCAAAAAAUUUGUAUGUUUUUAAAAUUUGUAUGGUUUCUGUCAUGCAGAAGUUUUCAAUUUUAUGUAGUUGAAAUUGUCAAUCAUUGAUUUUUGUGGCUUUUAGAUUUUCAGUCAUAGUUAGCAAGACUUUCCUUAUCUUCUAUGUUUGUUUCUGUAUUUUUAUAUUUUCUUUUUAUAUUUAAAUCUUUGAUAUAGUCAAAAUUUAUUGUACCAUAGAGGUGAAGUCUAUAUACAAAAUGUUCGUUAUCAACACUACUUAUUGAAUACUCCGUCUUUCCCCCAUGUAUUUGAGAUGACACCUUUUUUUUUUUUGAGGAAGAUUAACCCUGAGCUAACAUCUGCUGCCAAUCCUCCUCUUUUUGUUGAGGAAGACUGGCCCUGAGCUAACAUCUGUGCCCGUCUUCCUCUACUUUCUAUGUGAGGUGCCUACCACAGCAUGGCUUGACAAGCAAUGUGUAGGUCCACACCCAGGAUCCAAACAUGUGAAGCACAGGCUGCCGAACCAGAAUGUACGAACUUAACCACUGCUCCACUGGGCCAGCCCCCCGAGAUAGCACCUUUGUCUUAAACAAAAUUGCUAUAUGCAUUUGGAUAUUUUUCAGGAUUUUCAAUUCUGUGCCAGAUAUCAGUCUGAUAAAUCAUAUUUCACUAUUACAAUGUUUUAAUUGUUGAAGAUAUUAAGUUUAUUUCAAUAUAUAGUAUAGCUAUUGCUUCUUGUUUAUCUUCUUUUAUUUUUUAUUUUUGGUGAGGAAGAUUGGCCCUAAGUUAAAAUCUGUUGCCAAACUCCCUCUUUUCGCUUGAGGAAGAUUGUCCCUGAGUUAACAUCCAUGCCAGUCUUCCUCUAUUUUGUAUGUGGGACACUGCCACAGCAUGGCUUGAUGAGCAGUGUGCAGGUUUGUGUCCAUGAUCCAAACCCGUGAGUCCCAGGCCCCUGAAGCACAGCGUGUGAACUUAAUCACUAUGCCACUGGGCCAGCCCCUCAUUUAUUUUCUCUAUCAGAAUUACCUUGGCUAUUCUUUAUUUUUCCACGUGAAAGUUAGAAUCACCUUAUAUGGAUAAAAAUUUCUUUUUGCAUUUCUAUUGAGAUAAUAUUUAUAAGUUAGCAUUUAUAUAUUAAGAGAAAUUGAUAUAAGGCUAAGUCUUCCUAUCUGAGAACAUGGUACGUCUUUUCAUUUAUUCAAGUCUUUUUCUUUCUCUUUUUUUGUUUUUUUUUAUGAGUGUUUAAUAGGUUAUUUAGGUCUUGCACAUAUCUCAUUCAACUUAUUUUUAAUUAUUUUACAUUUUUAUUGUAAAUAAGGUAUUUCCUUCCGUUAUAUUGCCUGAUGCUGUUUAUAUUAAAAAAAGCUAUUGAUUUCUGUAUAUUAAUUUUACAUGUUCUGUAAUUGGUUGUAGUCAUUUUCAC
This 2613-nucleotide long non-coding RNA is filed under the name Equus asinus (donkey). Its description in RNAcentral is "lncRNA (ENSEASG00005030670.1)". Lineage: Eukaryota; Metazoa; Chordata; Mammalia; Perissodactyla; Equidae. The record is from RNAcentral.